AACGAACGCUGGCGGCAGGCUUAACACAUGCAAGUCGAACGCACCGGUCGGGGUGAUUGGCAGACGGGGGAGUAACGCGUGGGAAGCUACCCUUCUCUACGGGAUAGCUCCGGGAAACGGGAAUUAAUACCGUAUACGUCCUGACGGGGAAAGAUUUCUCGGGGAAGGAUGAGCCCGCGUUGGAUUAGCUAGUUGGGGAGGUAAAGGCCUACCAAGGCGACGAUCCAUAGCUGGUCUAAGAGGAUGAUCAGACACAUUGGGACUGAGACACGGCCCAAACUCCUACGGGAGGCAGCAGUGGGGAAUAUUGGACAAUGGGCGCAAGCCUGAUCCAGCCAUGCCGCGUGAGUGCUGAAGGCCCUAGGGAUGUAAAGCUCUUUCAGUGGGGACGAUAAUGACGGUACCCACAGAAGAAGCCCCGGCUAACUUCGUG
RNAcentral lists this ribosomal RNA (433 nucleotides) under uncultured bacterium. RNAcentral's name for it is "partial 16S ribosomal RNA". It matches the Rfam family "Bacterial small subunit ribosomal RNA", at positions 29 to 507 of the family's 1533-position model. The record is from RNAcentral.